This 274-nucleotide ribosomal RNA is filed under the name uncultured bacterium. RNAcentral describes it as "partial 16S ribosomal RNA". It matches the Rfam family "Bacterial small subunit ribosomal RNA", at positions 523 to 796 of the family's 1533-position model. The record is from RNAcentral.
AUACGGAGGGUGCAAGCGUUGUUCGGAAUCACUGGGCGUAAAGGGCGCGCAGGCGGUUUGGUAAGUCAGAUGUGAAAGCCCACGGCUCAACCGUGGAAGUGCAUUUGAAACUGCCAGACUUGAGUACCAGAGGGGAAAGUGGAAUUCCCGGUGUAGAGGUGAAACUCGUAGAUAUCGGGAGGAAUACCGGUGGCGAAGGCGACUUUCUGGCUGGAUACUGACGCUGAGGCGCGAAAGCGUGGGGAGCAAACAGGAUUAGAAACCCUAGUAGUCC